UACGGAGGGGGCGAGCGUUAUUCGGAAUUACUGGGCGUAAAGCGCGCGCAGGUGGCGCGGUAAGUGACAGGUGAAAGCCCUCGGCUCAACCGAGGAAUUGCCUGCCAUACUGCUGCGCUUGAGGCCGGGAGGGGAGAGUGGAAUUCCUGGUGUAGCGGUGAAAUGCGUAGAUACCAGGAGGAACACCGGUGGCGAAGGCGGCUCUCUGGACCGGUUCUGACACUCAUGCGCGAAAGCGUGGGGAGCAAACAGG
RNAcentral lists this ribosomal RNA (253 nucleotides) under uncultured bacterium. RNAcentral's name for it is "partial 16S ribosomal RNA". It matches the Rfam family "Bacterial small subunit ribosomal RNA", at positions 524 to 776 of the family's 1533-position model. The record is from RNAcentral.